RNAcentral lists this ribosomal RNA (166 nucleotides) under uncultured Lactobacillus sp. Its description in RNAcentral is "partial 16S ribosomal RNA". It matches the Rfam family "Bacterial small subunit ribosomal RNA", at positions 362 to 525 of the family's 1533-position model. Lineage: Bacteria; Bacillati; Bacillota; Bacilli; Lactobacillales; Lactobacillaceae. The record is from RNAcentral.
CUUCCCAUGGGCGAAGCCUGAUGGAGCCUGCCGCGUGAGUGAAGAAGGUUUUCGGAUCGUAAAACUCUGUUGUUGAAGAAGAACAUGCGUGAAAGUAACUGUUCUCGUACUGACGGUAUUCAACCAGAAAGCCCCGGCUAACUACGUGCCAGCAGCCGCGGUAAUA